This 7334-nucleotide long non-coding RNA is filed under the name Homo sapiens (human). RNAcentral describes it as "HSALNT0066038". The record is from RNAcentral. Lineage: Eukaryota; Metazoa; Chordata; Mammalia; Primates; Hominidae.
AAUAGGAACACUUUUACACUGUUGGUGGGACUGUAAACUAGUUCAACCAUUGUGGAAGUCAGUGUGGCGAUUCCUCAGGGAUCUAGAACUGGAAAUACAUUUGACCCAGCCAUCCCAUUACUGGGUAUGUACCCAAAGGACUAUAAAUCAUGCUGCUAUAAAGUCACAUGCACACGUAUGUUUAUUGUGGCAUUAUUCACAAUAGCAAAGACUUGGAACCAACCCAAAUGUCCAACAAUGAUAGACUGGAUUAAGAAAAUGUGGCACAUAUACACCAUGGAAUACUAUGCAGCCAUAAAAAAUGAUGAGUUCAUGUCCUUUGCAGGGACAUGGAUGAAAUUGGAAAACAUCAUUCUCAGUAAACUAUCGCAAGAACAAAAAACCAGACACCGCAUAUUCUCACUCAUAGGUGGGAAUUGAACAAUGAGAUCACAUGGACACAGGAAGGGGAAUAUCACACUCUGGGGACUGUUGUGGGGUGAGGGGAGGGGGGAGGGAUAGCAUUGGGAGAUAUACCUAAUGCUAGAUGACGAGUUAGUGGGUGUAAUGCACCAGCAUGGCACAUGUAUACAUAUGUAACUAACCUGCACAAUGUGCACAUGUAGAGUAUAAUAAAAAAAAAAGGCAAAACCAUAUUAGAAAAACAGAAAAGAAAAAGAAAAAAAAAAAAAAAGACUUAAAAUCUCUCUUGGGGCCAGAUACAGAAAGCAUUUUCCUCACCUGUUUUCUUUUCAAAACAGUAGAAAAACUGUUUUUAAAGAAGGGCAAUUAAAGUAGACUAGCCCUGAAUGAUUUUUCUAAUUGUUACAGAAAAUCUGAUGGUUUUCUUACCUUGAAGUCAUGUGUACUAGGUCUUCCAAUUCUCUCUGAAGGGGAAGCCACAUGGCUUCCUAGAUCCUUAAGAAAGGAUAACCCUUAUUGAUAAGCCUCUGUUUAUGACAUGACUUGCCCAGGGUCACACAGAAAGGCAGCAGUAGAGACAAAAAUUACAUACAGAUUGCCUGUCUCGCAGUUUCCCUUCCCUGUUGUUGGAGGAACGUAAUGAGGGUAAGAAAGGAAGGGGUCUCCAGAGAGAUGUAAUGGCUAUUUCUAAGCCAUUUUUAAAAUAAGCUUCAGAUGAUCAAAAGUUCGAGGUCAGAGGAUAAUUUAGGCCAUCAGAAGUUGGCCAGAUUGGAGUUAGGUCCUCUAGAGAAUUCUGUCCUUUGGCAGUCAAAGACAGUGAUGGACGCCAAGCCAGGCCUGUGAUUUGGGCACAGGUCCAGGCUCUAGCCCCCUCUGGAGCCGGGCUCGGAUCUUCACAAGGAGCUCUGCAGCAAGCAGGGUCUGUGCUUGAACAUACGCUUUUAAUCAGAGUCGCUGGAACCUGGAUGGGGCCUCAAACAUAAUUUAAUUCAGUCCUCUCACUUUGCAGAUGUAGAAAUUGAAGGCCAGAUUGAAGGGUGGGCUAUGGAAUGCUUGCACAAGGUCAUCUGUCAAUUUAGGGAACAGCAUGGUAAGGUGAAAAGGGAUCGCUUUGGUGUCAUUGCUGGGUUCCAAAUCCCCGCUCUGCCGCGUAUUAGCUAAGAGACCCCAGGUAAGUCACUUGACCUCCCUGACUAUCAAUGUCCCAGUGUGUAAAGUCGGGACCAUAAUUACAAUGCCUGAAUCACUGGAUUGCUAUCAUUAAAUAAGAUGAAAAAUAAGAAAGUGAUUUGUAAACAGGAAGUCACUUUUCAUACCACAAUGUUAAUAUUAAAUUAUAAUAAAACCCAACCCAAUAAAAGCAGUCCACUUUUCUGAAUGCCCACCACAUGCCAAGUGCCAAGUACUUCACAUACCUUGUUUCUUUUAAUUCACACAAUGAAUGACCCGAGGAGAACGCUCAACUAACAACCAUGUACUUGAACCAGGGGUUUAAAUCAGUCAUACACACAGCAGGAUUUAAAUACUAUCUUCCACAUGGUACCUUCAGAAACGUGGGCCUGGGAUUUCAUUCAUGGGAUACACAUGGCUCCCCCCCCCGUACCCCCUGCCCCCUCUGUAUUGAGUGGGUGGCUCUCACCUGUGGAGGGCAGGGUGCUCUCAUGUUUGUUUAUACCAGAACAUAGAAUAGAACUUGGUAAAGGUAAAUGCUCAUUUAAGAAAUAAAAAUACAUCAAAUAAAGUAAAAAGCAACCUGGUAGAUAGCAUUUCCUUUUCAUUUUUUUAAAAUAGCUUUAUCGAAGGAUAAUUGAAUGGAAAUGGUCAUUAAUAUAUAUCCAGAAUCUAUUAACGUUCGGCUAAGUUGGGGGGAACAUAGGGAUGUUUUAAGGCAACUAAGCGAUUUAGAAAACUUAAGUUCUUUAAUGUUUUCAAAGAAAAGGUUGAGUCUGUAAGAUAUAAUCUGGCAAUUUGUAUAGAACUCUUUCUACUAGCUUCCAGGAAUCCCUGCUCUGUGAGCUUUUUGCCAAACUGAUUGAUCUUCCCAGACAUAAUCUGGGGACCUUCUCUAAUAUGCCCCUGUCCCGCUGUCAGCUUAAUACACUCUUUUGCUAAGUAAUAGGGUAUUGCUAGUGUUCUUCCAGGUUCUCUUCAUAAAGGCGCUUCUCUGUCAAUAAGAGACUGUGUUUAUAUUCUUGUGCACAAAUAACUGGCCCUCUUCUCAGUGUUUGAGAUCCCUCAUCUUGCUCCGACUGUUGCAGCCUUUUCUCGCCAUGACAGACUGCCAUACUACAUGGCCUUCUCCCAUCGAAAGGGUCUAGCAUGUGGACCACUGAACUGCCAAGGAAGCAGUCCAACUGCCCUGAGGCUGCCAUGCUGUGAGGAAACCCAAAGUGGUCCAUAAAGAAGGAUUAUGUGGAGGGACCCUGAAAGAUGCCUGGCCUGCCUCCCACUGCUCCAGUACCCUCCUCCCCAACUCUUCCAGCUUCAGCCACUGUCUGCAACCACAUGAGAGCUCCCGAGCCAUAAAUGCCCAGCCUAGUCUCCCCUAAGUUUCUAACCCACAGUUUAAACUACUAAGCUUGGGUUGCUUUGUUAUGCCUCAAUAGCAACUGGGACAUGCCCCUUUCUCCAUUCUGCUGCUGAAUCUGGUUACAGCAGCAGAGACACAUGCCAGGGGCAUCUCUAGUAACAGGGGAAAGCCCUUUGGGAGUAGAUUCAAAGUGGGGGGUCAAGACAAAUUAUUCAGCGAGCCUGACUUUUAGAACUCAAGGGGCACCAAGUAAGUGCAUGAUCCUGAGGCAAUCAAUUCCUCUCGUUUUCCUUUUUUUGUAAAGGGAUGAACUAGACACAGUGUGGAAAGCCAGCUUUACCACAUUCUCCUACGAUCUUCUGAAGUUACCUAAUCUCUCUAACCCCAGAUUCCUCUUCUGUAAAAUGGGGAUAAUAGCCACAAAAAUAGAACAGUAGUGUAAAAUUAGAUAGUAUGUGUGGAAAAGUAGAGUCUUGAAACUUGACUUAAGUGGUUGAUGAAUGUUAGCCCCCUCCACCAAUGCCUUCCCCUUGCAUUCUAAUAUUCUCUGCUCCUCUGAGCAAAUUUACCAGAUGAUUGUUGGAGUUUUUUGUAAUCCUCAUCAAGUCAGAGAAGACUAGUGAGGUUGUGGCAAAUAAAUGAUUCUGAGGGUCCAGGGCGAGCUUUAGGUAAAUUGUGGUUUUAGUGUUUGAGAAAGAGCCUGUCACUAGUGGGAGUCUUCAUUAUUCACUGGCAAGAUAUAACAAGCAGGGCUUUGCAGUAAUGCACAGCUCCUCUGCUCUUGGCAAUCUUGUGGCCGAAAGAUAUUUUUAAAGCCCCUGUUUUCAGAUGACCGUGUUUCUGAUUAGCAUGUGUCUUUUCCAUUUUCAGUUCCACGAAGAGAAAGGCAAGUGAAAUUUGCCCAGCCUCACCAUCUCCAAAUGGGUGAUAUUACUGAACAAUUAUUUAAUGGCCCCACAGCAUCUGUUUUUUAUAUUUUGGGGUCCAUACUGGAAGUUCAAGCUUAUGAAUAAUCCAGAUAUUUAAAAGCCAAUGCUCAACUGGAUAUUCUCCUUAGGAUUAUUUUAGCCUUGUCUAGAAUCAGAGUGUCUGUCAAUUGCCACAACAUAUAUAUUAAGUUUGAAAGAGAUUAAGCUGGAAAAUUCGAUAUUUUAAAAAUAAUACCAAGAGAGGCUGGGAGCAGAAAGAGAAGAAAAGAUAACUAUUGGGUACUGGGUGAUGAAAUAAUAUUUACAAUAAACCCCCAUGGCAAGUGUUUACCUAUGUAGCAAACCUUCACAUGCACCCCCAAACAUAAAAUAAAAGUUAAAGAAAGAAAAAAACAGAAACUCUUACUUAUAACUCAUUUCAUUUAAUAACGUUUUUACUCUUUUAAAAAUAAAAUAAUGCUAAUGAUGAUGAUAACAGGGUUCAUACCUGUAGAGCAUUUUACAAGUGGCAGAGAGCUUUCAUUGAUAUCAUUUCUCUUAAGUCUUCACCCUGUGAGGUAGGCAUAGAAAGAAAUUUUAUCCCCAAAUGACAGAUGAAAAAAUAGAGAGCCCAUGAGUUUAACUGACUUGCUCAAAGCCACAAAGGCUGCAUUUCCUGAGCCUGAGUACCCCUAGGAAGAGCUCCAGCCAAUCUAGGGUGCAGAACCAAUGAGUUAGUUUAUCAUUUAUCAAUCCCAGUGAUGCAUAAGCUGUGCAGAAUUAGAAAGGUCAGCUCCAGGCUGGCCCACCAAAAAAGUAGAGGAAAACUUGGGAAUGCCCACUAGCCUAUUCAGAAGUUGGAUUCAGGUUGGGAGAAAGAAAAUAGGAGCCGAAUUAUUUUGAGGUGGUAUACACGAGUUACCUAUUGCCAUUGUAACAAAGCCAGCACAAACUUGGUGGCUUACAAUGACAUAAAUUUAUCCUUUUACAGUUCUGGAAACCAAAAAUCCAACAUUAAUUUCUCUGGGCUUUCAAAUCAAGCUGCCAGCAGGGAGAGUUCCUUCUGGAGGCUGUAGGGGAGAAUGUAUUUCCUUGCCUUUUUCAGCUUCCAGAGAUUCUCAUAUUCUUUGACUUGUGGCCCCUUCCUCCAUCUUCAAUGCAUAUAAUCUCUGUUUCCAUUGUCACACAACUCUCCUCCUACACCUUACAAUGGACCCAUCUGGAUGACAUGGGAUAAUCUCUGCACUUCAUGACCCCUAACUUAAUCACAUCUGCAAAGUCCCUUUAACAUGUAGGAGAACAUAGUCCCAGGUUCCAGGAAUUAGGACAUGGGCAUCUUUGGGACCAUCAUUCAGUCUACCAUAGGUGACAAGGUGACAGGCGGAUGGUGGCCACCGUUUUUUUUUGCAUGGUUGUGUUUGCCUGUCUGAAAGCCACACUCCUCACUGCCACCUGACAUGUAGAGGCCAAAAUAGAAAACACAUCUUCAGAUCCCAAGUAAAGUGCUCUUUCAGGCACGUCACACCUGCCAUCUCAAACUAUAUUUACAUUCAUUUUUGCAAAUAGCCCAUUCUUGUAUAGAAGGCAAUUAAUAUUUGCAUAAUGUUUUAGAGUUUAUAAUGGCCUUUUUAUUUACAUGAAGUCACUUAAACCCCUACAAUAGCCCUCUGAGACAGUUAUUAUUAACACAUUUUUACAUAUGAAGAAGCUAAGGCUCAGCGGGGUGAAGUGGUUUGUCUAAGGUCACCCAGCUGGUAAGGGCAAGACCACAAUGCAAAUCCCAAAAGUUCCACUAUAUUCCGCUCUAAAUAAUGAGUCUAUACUGAAGUCCACUUACUAGCCAUGGUGGCUUAUCUUUUGGGGAUACUCUGAAGGUGAAUGGGGUCUCCAUUGCGCUUUUGAGAUAAAAUGAGUCAAUAAAUGUGAAAGUCCUUUGUAGCAGUAUGACUCACUAUGACAGAAAGUUAUUGAUAGCAUUAUCAUCAUCACCACCAACAUCCUCUGCCCUGGAGACCAAGAGAAUUCAAACAGGUCAGCACCUCUAAUUGCUGUAUAGAACAUUGACCCUACUGUCUCCCAGUUCCUGAGGAUGGUGUGAUAAUAAUACAUCUCAGAGUUCUGUAGUUUCUUCACCACUGUGCAGGUGUGGUUGGUGGGAGCAAUGCCCUGGAUGGAUAAGCCAAGCUCUUGUGUCCUGGCAGAUAAACAAGGUGAACCCUCAAUCCGUGUAGCAGGAGUUUCCAGACAAACUCACUUUGCAUGGAAGGACACUAACCCUUCCAGAUGUGUCUAAUUUUGUGGAAAGGAGAAGGUUGGGAGCUCCGGAGCUAAUAGGAUGCACAGGAGGAAGAUACGGAGCACAGUGGCUGAGACCUGACAGCUCUCUGAAGACUCCACUUCACCGCCGCCACUCCACUUCACCGCCGCCAGCCCUGGCCCACACCUUUCUUAAGAGCAACUUAAGAAAUUUGCAACUUCAAAACCAGACCAGAGGGUGAGAAGAACUAGCCAACCCAUCCUCCAAGUGUGACUGAGCGGUCAGGCUGCCCCCACCUCAUUUGAGUGAGACCGCCAAGAGCCUUCACGUGGGACCUAGACCACAGGAACACAAUUAGGAAGUACUCCCUGCCCCUCACAACGGCCAUCCUCACCAGGCAGCGGGGACAGAAGGGAGGCAGGUGCAUUCAAAUCGCGCUGGCCUGAAGAAGGGAAAUGAAGCGCUAAACUCAGCUCGGUCCCACAAUGAGUCAGAAUGGGGGCAGGGAGGAGCGCCCAAAGCCCUCUGGCCCUUCUCCUUGGGAACUAGUCCUGCACAUGGCCACCAGCCCUGGGAAUCACAGCAUUUGGCAUGGGUCUCAGUUCUUGUACUCCAUUGCUGUGGGACAAGAGACACUAAACUUCCAGGUUUUCUCUCAAUAGCUGGCUUCACCUGUAAACACAGUGGCAUAUUAGACAAGCUCUCUUCAUCUGAAAUGUGCCCACCCCCCCAACAAUCCCACCUUUGCCUGCUCAAACCUGACUCAUGCUUCAUGUUCAUAUUCAACUUCUUCCCUUGUGCUUCUAACUAAAUCUAGGAAUCUCCUUGUUCUUAGAACCACCUUUAUCCCUUCUCAGAUAUUUAUGUAUAUCAGUUUUUAAAUGAAAAUAAUUUCUCACCUAUUAAGCUGGGCACCCUGCUAAUCACUUUCACACUUGCUGUUUAAUUUGCUGUUUUGCUCCCUAAUAUUAGACAAAAACUCCUUGAAAACAGAGACUGUGUCUGACUCAUCGCUCCUUCCCCCACCAGGCACUAUCCUCUCAACAGUUACUGGAUUAAUAAUUUUUUAAAAAAUUUUAAAAAACUAUUUUAAAAAAAUAUAAAUUAGUAAAAACUGUGGCAUUAGCAUGAAAUGACUAAUAUGUUCAAGUUCCACUUGAGGAAGUUAGGGUGAUGUCAGUGAAAACCUGCCCUUAGAGGAUCCCUGCCUGCAUGAGGGACUCUGGGACUGCAAAGU